UGUGUGUUAGUGGAAGCGUCUGGAAAGGCGCGCGAUACAGGGUGACAGCCCCGUACACAAAAAUGCACAUGCUGUGAGCUCGAUGAGUAGGGCGGGACACGUGGUAUCCUGUCUGAAUAUGGGGGGACCAUCCUCCAAGGCUAAAUACUCCUGACUGACCGAUAGUGAACCAGUACCGUGAGGGAAAGGCGAAAAGAACCCCGGCGAGGGGAGUGAAAAAGAACCUGAAACCGUGUACGUACAAGCAGUGGGAGCACGCUUAGGCGUGUGACUGCGUACCUUUUGUAUAAUGGGUCAGCGACUUAUAUUCUGUAGCAAGGUUAACCGAAUAGGGGAGCCGAAGGGAAACCGAGUCUUAACUGGGCGUUAAGUUGCAGGGUAUAGACCCGAAACCCGGUGAUCUAGCCAUGGGCAGGUUGAAGGUUGGGUAACACUAACUGGAGGACCGAACCGACUAAUGUUGAAAAAUUAGCGGAUGACUUGUGGCUGGGGGUGAAAGGCCAAUCAAACCGGGAGAUAGCUGGUUCUCCCCGAAAGCUAUUUAGGUAGCGCCUCGUGAAUUCAUCUCCGGGGGUAGAGCACUGUUUCGGCAAGGGGGUCAUCCCGACUUACCAACCCGAUGCAAACUGCGAAUACCGGAGAAUGUUAUCACGGGAGACACACGGCGGGUGCUAACGUCCGUCGUGAAGAGGGAAACAACCCAGACCGCCAGCUAAGGUCCCAAAGUCAUGGUUAAGUGGGAAACGAUGUGGGAAGGCCCAGACAGCCAGGAUGUUGGCUUAGAAGCAGCCAUCAUUUAAAGAAAGCGUAAUAGCUCACUGGUCGAGUCGGCCUGCGCGGAAGAUGUAACGGGGCUAAACCAUGCACCGAAGCUGCGGCAGCGACGCUUAUGCGUUGUUGGGUAGGGGAGCGUUCUGUAAGCCUGUGAAGGUGUACUGUGAGGUAUGCUGGAGGUAUCAGAAGUGCGAAUGCUGACAUAAGUAACGAUAAAGCGGGUGAAAAGCCCGCUCGCCGGAAGACCAAGGGUUCCUGUCCAACGUUAAUCGGGGCAGGGUGAGUCGACCCCUAAGGCGAGGCCGAAAGGCGUAGUCGAUGGGAAACAGGUUAAUAUUCCUGUACUUGGUGUUACUGCGAAGGGGGGACGGAGAAGGCUAUGUUGGCCGGGCGACGGUUGUCCCGGUUUAAGCGUGUAGGCUGGUUUUCCAGGCAAAUCCGGAAAAUCAAGGCUGAGGCGUGAUGACGAGGCACUACGGUGCUGAAGCAACAAAUGCCCUGCUUCCAGGAAAAGCCUCUAAGCAUCAGGUAACAUCAAAUCGUACCCCAAACCGACAC
This 1332-nucleotide ribosomal RNA is filed under the name Escherichia coli. Its description in RNAcentral is "partial 23S ribosomal RNA". It matches the Rfam family "Bacterial large subunit ribosomal RNA", at positions 323 to 1660 of the family's 2925-position model. The record is from RNAcentral. Lineage: Bacteria; Pseudomonadati; Pseudomonadota; Gammaproteobacteria; Enterobacterales; Enterobacteriaceae.